RNAcentral lists this ribosomal RNA (496 nucleotides) under uncultured bacterium. RNAcentral's name for it is "partial 16S ribosomal RNA". It matches the Rfam family "Bacterial small subunit ribosomal RNA", at positions 30 to 523 of the family's 1533-position model. The record is from RNAcentral.
AUUGAACGCUGGCGGAAUGCUUUACACAUGCAAGUCGAACGGUAGAGGGGGCAACCCCUCGAGAGUGGCGAACGGGUGAGUAAUAUAUCGGAACGUGCCCAGUCGUGGGGGAUAACGUUUCGAAAGGAACGCUAAUACCGCAUACGUCCUACGGGAGAAAGCAGGGGACCUUCGGGCCUUGCGCUAUCAGAUGAGCCUAGGUCGGAUUAGCUAGUUGGUGGGGUAAUGGCUCACCAAGGCGACGAUCCGUAACUGGUCUGAGAGGAUGAUCAGUCACACUGGAACUGAGACACGGUCCAGACUCCUACGGGAGGCAGCAGUGGGGAAUUUUGGACAAUGGGCGAAAGCCUGAUCCAGCCAUUCCGCGUGCAGGAUGAAGGCCCUCGGAUUGUAAACUGCUUUUGUACAGAACAAAAAGGUUUCUACUAAUACUAGGAGCUCAUGACGGUACUGUAAGAAUAAGCACCGGCUAACUACGUGCCAGCCGCCGCCGUAA